AUGGAAAGACAUCUUUUAAUAAUUCAUUCUUAUUUCACAAAUAUUCAGCUGCCAAAAUUUCAUGAGUCUCACAUUUUUAAUAAAAAGACCCAAAGUUCCAUUAAAUAAUGGAGAAAAAAACUUCUCCACCAUCUUAAUACACUGACAUGAGAUUUUUCAAAUUUUCCACGAUUACCACCUAUGGUAUUUUAAAGAUCUUCAUUAAAAACAUAAAAAAUGAAAUGGCUAGGGAUUUCUAUUCACUAUAGUUUUUUCAAGGAAAUGUAAUUACUACGUAAGUAUUCCUUUAUUAAAUUUGAAGUUAUAUAACCAACAAGCCAAUAUGAAAGAUUUUUCUUUACGUCCUUUUCAAAUUCCCCCAAAAUAUCUUUAUGACAACUGCUAUCAGCCUAUGGCAGUGAGCCAUCCAUCAUUUCAACAGGAUGCCCGUGUCACCACUUUAUAACACAUGCACGCUAUCGAACAAUUCUUUUUAGGGAUCUUGGAUGUCCCAUUCACCUCUCAAUCUCCCACCAGCUCUAGAUGAGAGAAAUGA
Molecule: long non-coding RNA, 535 nt
Filed under: Homo sapiens (human)
Lineage: Eukaryota; Metazoa; Chordata; Mammalia; Primates; Hominidae
Description: non-protein coding lnc-SERP2-3:1
Source: RNAcentral